UGCAAGUCGAACGGAAAGGCUCCUUCGGGGGUACUCGAGUGGCGAACGGGUGAGUAACACGUGGGUGAUCUGCCCCUGACUUUGGGAUAAGCCUGGGAAACUGGGUCUAAUACCGGAUAUGACCUGCCCUUGCAUGGGGGUUGGUGGAAAGCUUUUGCGGUCAGGGAUGGGCCCGCGGCCUAUCAGCUUGUUGGUGGGGUAAUGGCCUACCAAGGCGACGACGGGUAGCCGACCUGAGAGGGUGAUCGGCCACACUGGGACUGAGACACGGCCCAGACUCCUACGGGAGGCAGCAGUGGGGAAUAUUGCACAAUGGGCGCAAGCCUGAUGCAGCGACGCCGCGUGAGGGAUGACGGCUUCGGGUUGUAAACCUCUUUUAGCAGGGCCGCCGNGUAAGUGACGGUACCUGCA
This 411-nucleotide ribosomal RNA is filed under the name uncultured bacterium. Its description in RNAcentral is "bacterial SSU rRNA". It matches the Rfam family "Bacterial small subunit ribosomal RNA", at positions 56 to 483 of the family's 1533-position model. The record is from RNAcentral.